GCAGUCGAGCGAACAGAUGGGAGCUUGCUCCCUGAUGUUAGCGGCGGACGGGUGAGUAACACGUGGGUAACCUGCCUGUAAGACUGGGAUAACUCCGGGAAACCGGGGCUAAUACCGGAUGGUUGUUUGAACCGCAUGGUUCAAACAUAAAAGGUGGCUUCGGCUACCACUUACAGAUGGACCCGCGGCGCAUUAGCUAGUUGGUGAGGUAAUGGCUCACCAAGGCAACGAUGCGUAGCCGACCUGAGAGGGUGAUCGGCCACACUGGGACUGAGACACGGCCCAGACUCCUACGGGAGGCAGCAGUAGGGAAUCUUCCGCAAUGGACGAAAGUCUGACGGAGCAACGCCGCGUGAGUGAUGAAGGUUUUCGGAUCGUAAAGCUCUGUUGUUAGGGAAGAACAAGUACCGUUCGAAUAGGGCGGUACCUUGACGGUACCUAACCAGAAAGCCACGGCUAACUACGUGCCAGCAGCCGCGGUAAUACGUAGGUGGCAAGCGUUGUCCGGAAUUAUUGGGCGUAAAGGGCUCGCAGGCGGUUUCUUAAGUCUGAUGUGAAAGCCCCCGGCUCAACCGGGGAGGGUCAUUGGAAACUGGGAAACUUGAGUGCAGAAGAGGAGAGUGGAAUUCCACGUGUAGCGGUGAAAUGCGUAGAGAUGUGGAGGAACACCAGUGGCGAAGGCGACUCUCUGGUCUGUAACUGACGCUGAGGAGCGAAAGCGUGGGGAGCGAACAGGAUUAGA
This 742-nucleotide ribosomal RNA is filed under the name Bacillus spizizenii ATCC 6633 = JCM 2499. RNAcentral describes it as "bacterial SSU rRNA". It matches the Rfam family "Bacterial small subunit ribosomal RNA", at positions 57 to 782 of the family's 1533-position model. Lineage: Bacteria; Bacillati; Bacillota; Bacilli; Caryophanales; Bacillaceae. The record is from RNAcentral.